GGAGGCAAGACUUUUCAUCACAACAAACAUGGCGGCGGCUGGAAGUAAACGGAGGAAACUUUCUAUAAACGAACAUUGCCAUAUGUGCAGGGGAUAUCUAAGGACAAAUGGUAAUAUCUGCAACCGCCCAUGGAUAUUUGAAGAACUUCCCUACGGGAAAGGGUAAACCAGCGCCCAGCUGAACUUGAUCGAAACUUGUGAAACUUCUCCGAAAAAUCCUGUCGCAUGCCUGAAAUGCCUGCUGUAAUUUAACCCAGCGUUCUAAAGGUACGUACGAUGCAGAAAUGCAAAGCAGGGCCAAACAUGCUGCAUUCAAUGGGUACGAAGACGGUGUGAGGAACAACAUAACAGCUCUCUUCCUGGUGGCAGCCAUGGAGCACCUAGGGGCUUCAUUUAGUGUCAGAUAUCCCUGACGGCUUCAUACCUGACCACAUAACCAUGGGCUCUGAAGAGGGGAAAAAAGGAGCAGGCUACAUCCGGUAGUGGCCCGG
Molecule: long non-coding RNA, 491 nt
Organism: Engraulis encrasicolus (European anchovy)
Lineage: Eukaryota; Metazoa; Chordata; Actinopteri; Clupeiformes; Engraulidae
Exons: 3
Source: RefSeq, a predicted model, not a curated record